This 339-nucleotide ribosomal RNA is filed under the name uncultured bacterium. RNAcentral's name for it is "bacterial SSU rRNA". It matches the Rfam family "Bacterial small subunit ribosomal RNA", at positions 154 to 507 of the family's 1533-position model. The record is from RNAcentral.
AAACUGGGUCUAAUACCGGGAUAGGACUCCUGGCUUCAUGGUUGGGGGUGUAAAGCUUUUGCGGUGUGGGAUGGGCCCGCGGCCUAUCAGCUUGUUGGUGGGGUAAUGGCCUACCAAGGCGACGACGGGUAGCCGGCCUGAGAGGGUGACCGGCCACACUGGGACUGAGAUACGGCCCAGACUCCUACGGGAGGCAGCAGUGGGGAAUAUUGCACAAUGGCGCAAGCCUGAUGCAGCGACGCCGCGUGAGGGAUGACGGCCUUCGGGUUGUAAACCUCUUUCAAUAGGGACGAAGCGCAAGUGACGGUACCUAUAGAAGAAGGACCGGCCAACUACGUG